This 59-nucleotide transfer RNA is filed under the name Bruchidius uberatus. RNAcentral describes it as "tRNA-Ile". The record is from RNAcentral. Lineage: Eukaryota; Metazoa; Arthropoda; Insecta; Coleoptera; Chrysomelidae.
CCUGAAUAAAAGGAUAAUUUUGAUAGAAUUAAUAAUGUGUACCCCCGGCACCUUCAUAA